This is a long non-coding RNA of Drosophila ananassae, 1724 nucleotides long. RefSeq lists it as uncharacterized. The record is from RefSeq and is a predicted model, not a curated record. NCBI's taxonomy places the organism in Eukaryota, Metazoa, Arthropoda, Insecta, Diptera, Drosophilidae. The transcript has 2 exons.
AUUUUUUUGCUUAGAAAUAUAUUUUGUAGUUAUGCUUUCAAUAUUUUUCUUGAUGAUCUGAAUAAAACAUUUAUUGGGUUUCACAAACAAAAAAAUGAAGUCAUAUUUUCAAAUAUUUGUUAUUUAAUUUGUAUUUAAUUAAAAACCACGAAAGCUAAGUUAACUUUUGGCGGAACCAAAGUUGAUAUACCCUUCCAGCUAAUAUUCUGAGAUGUAUAUCGCUAAUAUCGAAAAUAUUUGAUAGAUCCUUGUGAGAUCCUUGUUUCCCUCAUUUUUUAAAAAGUUUCAGCCUGCUAACUUUAAAAACACCAAUGUUGUGUCAUUUGUGAUUGUUUGCUUAUAUGAUGAUUUUGAUUGACCCAAAAUAAAAUACCUAUAUGGAAAGUCCCUCUAAGUUAGAAAACAACUCAGUUGUGGAACUCCCGAUCAAUCAGUUACAUGGCAGCUAAAGGAUAUAGUCGACCGAUCCCGGCCGUUCCGAUUUAUAUUCAGCGUGCAGUGAAAAGAAGAAUGUGUGCGUAGAAAAUGAUCAAGAAUAUAUAAUAUAUAUUUUUAUAAGGUCGGAGAUGUCUCGCUGCGUUGUAGGCAUUAACCAAAUUAUAAUAUCCUCUGCAAGGGUAUCAAAAUGGUUUCAGGUUUAAAUAUAUGGCUAUAUACUUACAUAUAUGCUAUAAUUUACAAAUAUAACGCUAUUAUAAGGCUAUAAACUUAUAGAAAUUAUAAAUUUAGUCUACUAUACACAUUUGUGUUCUUUACCGGAACUAGACAAGCUAGGAUUUUUAUUGUGCUUCACGGCCGUGAAGAAAUGCUUUGCAUAACCCUUACGCAAGGGGCUCAAAGCCCCUUCAACGCCUUGGCCAAAGUGGGCAGUGUCUUGGCUAAAAGUGGGUAUAACGCACAAAGACGGGACGAAAUAAAGGAUCUGGGAGUCUUUUUUGAACUGGCGCUAAGAAAUGUGUCAUUUUUUGAUGGGGGCGUGUUAAAAAUAUGAAACAAACUUGACUAUGAAAAAAAUUAUAUGAAAACCAUAGGAUGUAGUCAAAGGAACACGCCGACUUUUAUAUUAUGUAUGAUGUGAAAAAGAAUGAAGAAUGUGUACAAAGCUUGAAGUCGAUAACUAUAAACCUGAGAAAAUAUUUAUUUUGCUUAUAUCGACUCAGGAGGUGAUCCUAAUCCUAAUAAUUUAACAGGGUCUGAGAUGUUGAUCAAAAUUGCAAUACCCUCUGCAAUGGUAUAAAAAUGAAACGCAAUAAUAGAUUAUCUUCCGUGUGCUAAUCACUUAUGUGUGUGUUUUUCAUUUUUUAUUCUUUUCUGGUCACACCUUAAUGAAUCUUAAAAAAUGCUCUAAAAGGAUCGGCAUAUUGCGUUAACUACCAAUGGAUGUGCAUUCAAUAGUAGAAAACAAAUAAAUAUUAAUGUUUUCGUCUUGCGCAGAAGCUCUACCAAAGCUCCCCAAAACGCAUACAAAUAGCAAAUAACAAUACAGCAAAUAACAAUACAGCAAAUAACAAUAAAGCACAUGCGAAGCUGGGAGACAAAACAGAGAAGAAUACAUGCUGAUAACGACACCUGCGGCUAAGCAUGUUAUGAUUAUUUAACAUACAUUUUAGCCCUCUGAAAAGCUAUAAAAACCACUUGGCCCACCAAAAAUAUCGGAUAUUUAUUAUGGCAACGAAAACCGCAUUAUAGGUAUACAACAUAUUGUCUGAUAACUGCAAAGCUAU